Molecule: transfer RNA, 73 nt
Filed under: Anguilla anguilla (European eel)
Lineage: Eukaryota; Metazoa; Chordata; Actinopteri; Anguilliformes; Anguillidae
Description: tRNA-OTHER
Source: RNAcentral
GGCAGUGUAGCUCAGUGGUUAAGGAACUGGGCUUGUAACCGGAAGGUCACGGGUUCGAUUCCUGGGUAGGACA